UAGCUUAACCGGAAAUGAAAAGAGGUUUG
This 29-nucleotide non-coding RNA is filed under the name Rattus norvegicus (Norway rat). Lineage: Eukaryota; Metazoa; Chordata; Mammalia; Rodentia; Muridae. The record is from RNAcentral.